This 458-nucleotide ribosomal RNA is filed under the name uncultured bacterium. RNAcentral describes it as "partial 16S ribosomal RNA". It matches the Rfam family "Bacterial small subunit ribosomal RNA", at positions 338 to 795 of the family's 1533-position model. The record is from RNAcentral.
CCUACGGGAGGCAGCAGUGAGGAAUAUUGGUCAAUGGGCGCGAGCCUGAACCAGCCAAGUCGCGUGAGGGAAGACGGUCCUAUGGAUUGUAACCUCUUUUGUCGGGGAGCAAAAGACGCCACGCGUGGCGUUCCGAGAGUACCCGACGAAAAAGCAUCGGCCAACUCCGUGCCAGCAGCCGCGGUAAUACUGAGGAUGAGUGCGUUAACCGGGUGUAUGGGGUGUAAAGGGGGCGCAGGCGGAAGAAAAAGGCAGCGGUAAAAUUGAGGGGCUCAACCUCUUCGUGCCGUUGAAACUGGUUUUCUUGAGUGAGUGAGAAGUAUGCGGAAUUCGUGGUGUAGCGGUGAAAUGCAUAGAUAUCCCGCAGAACUCCGAUUGCGAAGGCAGCAUACCGGCGCUCAACUGACGCUCAUGCACGAAAGUGUGGGUAGCGAACAGGAUUAGAUACCCUUGUAGUC